GGAGCGGUCGUCCAGCGGUCGAGGACACCAGCUUGGAAAGCUGGCGGGCGCACGCCUGCGAGGGUUCGAAUCCCUCCCGCUCCGC
RNAcentral lists this transfer RNA (85 nucleotides) under Nannocystis exedens. Its description in RNAcentral is "tRNA-Ser". It matches the Rfam family "tRNA". Rfam says of the family: Transfer RNA (tRNA) molecules are approximately 80 nucleotides in length. Their secondary structure includes four short double-helical elements and three loops (D, anti-codon, and T loops). Lineage: Bacteria; Pseudomonadati; Myxococcota; Nannocystales; Nannocystaceae. The record is from RNAcentral.